UUGAUUGCUGUCAGCUAUGAGGCCUAUAAAUAUGGGGUGAAGUGGUAAGUAUUCGUUACUUAUAUUUUCUAAGUACUUCAUGUAUGACUGGAUCUUCUUGGACUGGUGAAAUCUAUUAUGUGGGUUUUUUAAGUUCAAUGUGAGGUGAUGAAGCGAAGCAAGUUUGCCCACAAAUCCAACUUGUCCAAGUCCCAGUUGCUCGUGGUAAAGCUGACUUGAGCAUAUACCGAAAUGCGGGUUCAGAGGUGGUUUCUAUUCUUGCAAGGAAGGGUAGAUGUGAGCAUGCUUCAAUUGAUGAAUUGUAUCUUGAUCUCACUGAUGAUGCUGAAGCAAUGUUAGCAGAAACUCCUCCAGAGAGCUUGGAAGGUAGCACAUACACUCACUUUGCAUGCCAGAGCUUUCAAGUCCAGUGACUCUAAGUCGCAGAAAAAUUUUCCUUCCAAGUCAUGUCCAUUGAGGUAUGGCUCUGCCAAGAUCAAAGAAGAUGCCCUGAACUUAUUUCAAGCGGGGUUACGUGAAUACCUUGGCUCACACAGAAUCAAGGCUCAGGGAAGUCAAUACAAUGGAUGGGGAAUAACUUCUCUUUCUGUUACGGCCAGUAAAAUAGUUGCUAUUCCAUCUGUAAGUUCAAAUUUUUUUGUUGUCUCAUAUUUUAUUAUCUUGCAAUGUCCAUUUUUGAACAACAUAUUUAUACUUGUUUGGAUAUGUAAUUUUUAGUAGUAGGAGUUUGCCUUGCCAUUAACAUGUUAUGAUGUUAUUAAGCCCAAACCUAACAACUCUGCAAGGAUCAUACUAUUUAACCUGGGUUAAAGAAGCUUCAAAGACCUUAUUUAUCAACAAAAAAAAGAAAAGAAAAGAAGAAGCUUCAGAGACCUUGAUAAAACUAUUGACACCUUCUUACUGUUGCAUCACAUUUGCUCUGUACUUUUGUGGAUGUCCAAUGAGCAUUGCUUAAGUGAGCUUUUACUGACAGGAAUUGAAGUUGGGUUGGUGACAAGUAGAGCUAAGUUUGGUAUGACAUAGACUAUGCAACUUUGAACAGUUUUAACUUAAGAAUUGGACCAAGCAGACUUAAAUUGGUUAGUUUGGUUUCAUUCCGUAUGGGACUUAGUUCAGUUGGCUCAAUAAUUUAAAAAUUGGGGAUGAUCAGUUUGGUUUUGAUUGAUGGAUGGGGUAAAUAUUUUGUCCUUGUAUACUAAUGCUUUCUCACCUUUUAGAUUUCACUAUUUAGUUCUUGGGUUUUUAAUAUCUUUCCUGGUUUGAUAUUGUCCUUUAUUGUAUAUUUCUAAUAAUGAUAGCCUAUGUUGAGGCAUUAAACUCUCUGAAAUAACCUUGCAAUCUUUACAUAUUAAGCAACACGCUCUUCUUACAAGAAAAUCAUCUAUUUGACUCUUAUUUGACCUACUUUUAAAGGUUAUUUAGUGUUCUUCUCCAGCCUCAUUUCGCUGUCCAAAAACUAUAUCCACCAUGUAUUCUCUGAUACCCUUAGUUAUCUUUUUCUACAUUACCGUUGAACUCUCCAACUAUAAUUAUCUUCUCUCCAACAGAUAUUUCUUGCAUUAGUUCAUCCAAUUGAUUCCAAAAUUGUCCUUUAAUAUAUUCCUCCAAUCAUAUUUGGUCGAUACUCUCAAAACCGUUGUGCUGGCUGAUACUGAUAUUGCGAUCUAAGACCAUUCUUCUAACGAAAACUUUCAUGAGAUGAGCAUAUUGCAAUUCAUGUAGUGCCUGCAAAUUAUCUUGUUUCCCACUCAUUUAAAUA
Molecule: non-coding RNA, 1759 nt
Organism: Camellia sinensis
Lineage: Eukaryota; Viridiplantae; Streptophyta; Magnoliopsida; Ericales; Theaceae
Source: RefSeq, a predicted model, not a curated record